RNAcentral lists this ribosomal RNA (109 nucleotides) under uncultured bacterium. RNAcentral's name for it is "partial 16S ribosomal RNA". It matches the Rfam family "Bacterial small subunit ribosomal RNA", at positions 358 to 466 of the family's 1533-position model. The record is from RNAcentral.
GGAAUAUUGGGCAAUGGGCGCAAGCCUGACCCAGCAACGCCGCGUGAGGGAAGACGCUUUAAGGAGUGUAAACCUCUGUUAGUAGGGACGAAUGACUUUUAUGCUUUUG